GGAGGACACAAUUUACAGAUUGUAUAGGAUUUAAACUUGUAAUGAGUAAAAGUGUCACUGCUUGAAUUUUUUCAGAGUCAGGAAGCUCAUCAUAUUCUGUAGCAGACUAUACUAUUUUUUAGACAUUUUCAAUAGUUAAAAACUCAUUUUUAUAAAGAAAACAAUUGGCCUUUUAAUGUAAUUUGAACUUUGUGUUUUUUGACUAACAUUCAAUGUUUCUAAUUGUCAUAAGGAAUUUUUCAAGUGAUUACCACUUCGUUUAUUUUCAUGUUAAAUACUCCAUUUCUUUUAACCAAAGUGGGUAGUUCAUAGAGCCCAAUUAAUUUUAAUAAUUUAUGUUAUUUAAUUUUACUAAUUUAAUUUAAUAUAAACAACUAUUAGAAUCAUCUUCUGCUAUGGUUUGAACAUAUCCUAUCUAAAAUGUAGUUGUUGCUAAUAUAAUGAUAUUAAUGUGUGGGCCCUUUAAGAGGGAUUAGACCAUGAUGACUUCUUUCACAUGAAUGGGAUUAAGGCCCUUAUAAAAGAGGCUUUACACAGUGUUUGACUUUCUUACCCUUCCACCAUCUUCCUUAUGAGGGCACAAUGUUGCUUCCCGCUGGAAGACACAGCAAUAAGGCACUAUUGUGGAAGCUCAGAAAGCAACUCAUCACCCAGCCUCACCAGCCAGCAUCUUGAUUUUGGAGAACGUUGACCCAAAGUCUUAUUUCCAAGGGGAGAGAUGCUUUCACCAGGAGAUUCAACAAUGAUUUCACUGAACUGGACAUUAAGGCUGCUGUCCAGGUGCUUUGAAGUCCUUAUGCCUCUGAAUCAAGAGGGAGAAAAGGCGGUUACUCUGCUGGCUGGAGCGAGUGAUCCUGAAUACCAAGGGAAAAUUGGAUGACUACUCCACAAUAAGGAAGAAUACAGCAGAUCCCUUACACCAUCUCUUAGUAUUACUAUGUCCCCUGUGAUUAAGGUCAGUGGAAAAUUAAAAGAACCCAUUCCAGUCAGAACUAAUAGUCCAGACUCUUCAGGAAUGAGAGCUUGUGUCACUCCACCAAGCAGAAAAUACAACCAGCUAAGGUGCUUGCUGAAGGUAAAGGGAACACAAAACAGGAGGUGCAAAAAAGUAGUUAUAAAUACCAGCCAUGACAACAUGACCAGCUACAGAAAUGAAGACUAUAAUUGUUCAAAAGAAAUUUGUCAGAAGAUUUUGAAAAGCGAAAAUUACCCUGGAUUAUCUGAUGGGAACAAUUGUAAAUCAGAAGAGUCCUCCUUUUAA
RNAcentral lists this long non-coding RNA (1261 nucleotides) under Papio anubis (olive baboon). RNAcentral describes it as "lncRNA (ENSPANG00000043968.1)". The record is from RNAcentral. Lineage: Eukaryota; Metazoa; Chordata; Mammalia; Primates; Cercopithecidae.